GUGGUCACUUUAGCACACAUAUACUAAAUUUAGAACAUUACAGAGAAUAUUAGCAUCACACCUCAAUAACGGAAUGCAAAUUCAUAAAGAUUUCCAUAUUUUU
This is a small nuclear RNA of Zalophus californianus (California sea lion), 103 nucleotides long. The record is from Ensembl. Lineage: Eukaryota; Metazoa; Chordata; Mammalia; Carnivora; Otariidae.